GACGAACGCUGGCGGCGUGCUUAACACAUGCAAGUCGAACGGAAAGGCCGUGCUUUUGUGGGGUGCUCGAGUGGCGAACGGGUGAGUAACACGUGAGUAACCUGCCCUUGACUUUGGGAUAACUUCAGGAAACUGGGGCUAAUACCGGAUAGGAGCUCCCGCUGCAUGGUGGGGGUUGGAAAGUUUCGGCGGUUGGGGAUGGACUCGCGGAUUAUCAGCUUGUUGGUGGGGUAGUGGCUUACCAAGGAUUUGACGGGUAGCCGGCCUGAGCGGGUGACCGGCCACAUUGGUACUGAGAUACGGCCCAGACUCCUACGGGAGGCAGCAGUGGGGAAUAUUGCCCAAUGGUCGGAAGCCUGAUGCAGCAACGCCGCGUGCGGGAUGACGGCCUUCGGGUUGUAAACCGCUUUCGCCUGUUACGAAGCGUGACUGACGGUAAUGGGUAAAGAAGCACCGGCUAACUUCGUG
Molecule: ribosomal RNA, 468 nt
Filed under: uncultured bacterium
Lineage: Bacteria
Description: partial 16S ribosomal RNA
Rfam family: Bacterial small subunit ribosomal RNA
Source: RNAcentral